RNAcentral lists this ribosomal RNA (253 nucleotides) under uncultured bacterium. RNAcentral's name for it is "partial 16S ribosomal RNA". It matches the Rfam family "Bacterial small subunit ribosomal RNA", at positions 524 to 776 of the family's 1533-position model. The record is from RNAcentral.
UACGUAGGGGGCGAGCGUUGUCCGGAUUUAUUGGGCGUAAAGCGCGGGCAGGCGGCCCCGUAAGUCGGCCGUGAAAGCGCCGGGCUCAACUCGGCGAGGACGGGCGAGACUGCAGGGCUAGAGAGAGGCAGAGGGCGGUGGAAUUCCGGGUGUAGUGGUGGAAUGCGCAGAUAUCGGGAGGAACACCAAUGGCGAAGGCAGCUCGCUGGGACGUUACUGACGCUGAGACGCGAAAGCGUGGGGAGCAAACAGG